This 377-nucleotide ribosomal RNA is filed under the name uncultured bacterium. RNAcentral describes it as "bacterial SSU rRNA". It matches the Rfam family "Bacterial small subunit ribosomal RNA", at positions 790 to 1167 of the family's 1533-position model. The record is from RNAcentral.
GUAGUCCACGCCGUAAACUAUGGAUACUAGGUGUCCGGGAUGUUAACCUCCUGGGUACCGUAGCUCACGCAUUAAGUAUCCCGCCUGGGGAGUACGGUCGCAAGACUAAAACUCAAAGGAAUUGACGGGGGCCCGCACAAGCGGUGGAGUAUGUGGUUUAAUUCGAAGCAACGCGCAGAACCUUACCUGGGCUUAACAUCCCAUGACAACCGCAGAGAUGCGGCUUUCCCUUCGGGGACAUGGAGAUAGGUGCUGCAUGGCUGUCGUCAGCUCGUGUCGUAAGAUGUUGGGUUAAGUCCCGCAACGAGCGCAACCCUUGUCCUUAGUUGCCAGCAUUAAGUUGGGCACUCUGAGGAGACUGCCGGUGUUAAACCGGA